Molecule: long non-coding RNA, 3298 nt
Organism: Lemur catta (Ring-tailed lemur)
Lineage: Eukaryota; Metazoa; Chordata; Mammalia; Primates; Lemuridae
Exons: 3
Source: RefSeq, a predicted model, not a curated record
GUGGGGAGGACCCCUGCCCACCAGCCGCCGCGCCUCCAGGAAGGAGCGUCUGAGCAGAAACCAGGGCUGAGCAGGAGGCUCUAGAAACAGAAAAGGACAGUUGUGCUCGGCAUUUCCUGUCUCUCUCCCCGCAGGCCUCUCUGCGAACGCCCUGCCCGUGUACGUUAGACACGGGGCGGCUGGUCUGUGCCUCUGGAGCCCCGGUUCCUGGGUUUCCCACGACUGUUGUUGCCUGGGCACCCUCCGUGCUGCUGUGCACUCAGUACUUGCUCGGUCAGUUCACUUAGAAAAUUACAGAGGAGGGUGGGGGCUGAGGACAAGGGGGGGGCGGCCCCCAGCCCUUCAAGCAGGGGCCGGAGACGCCAGGGCAGCUGGGGGUUGUCCUUCCACCUUGGCCCCCCUCGAGCCAGGGCACGCUGAGCCCCCACCUGCCCUGCUGGGUGUCUGGGGGCUUCACACCCGCCGCCUCGCCGCAUCCUGUUCAUCUGUUCACUUUCCUCCUCUCCCCCUGCUUGCCGGUCUCCACCCUGUGGCUGCAGAAUCUGCUCCUGGGACGGCCUGUGUGUGGACCCGGCAGAUACCGAGUGUAGACUGGGUGAGGGAAGGCACCGGCCAGUUGAAGAAGCAUGUGGACCUGGGGGGUAUAAACCCUGGUUCUAAGGCCUGGAGAGGACCAGCACCCUCCCGUCACACGGACAGCAGAGCUGGCGGCAUCUCUGCUCCUGGCGUGGCACAGCCCCCCGAGUAGCCGGGUCCGCCCAGCAGCCCCUCAGGGCCAGGCCAGGCAGACACAGGUGCAGCUUUGUUCUCUGCGUGGCGUGUGGGUUGGACUGAAGGACAAGGUCUUGUCAUCGGGGAGGCGGGAGCCACUCUGGGGCCUGAGCAGGAGAACUAGUGGAUUUGAGAGUUCCGGGAGACAGUUCUAUGGCAACAACGUACCUUUAGGGAUCUGGCCUAUGCCUUACUGUGUAAAAUGAGUGAACAGGUAUGGUAACAUGUUAAUUAGGUGACACCCUGAAUUAGCCAGUCUUACGCAGGUUUUUUUCUUUUAAAAGGCUUGUACCUGGAAUUUACUUUUUAACUCUACCAGCUUCCCAGGGUCAUGGGUGCCUUCACCCGGCCCUGCAGUCCGACUUUAUCCUGAGGCCCAGGACGGUGGAGGGGGGGGCAGGGGGAUGUCUUCUUGGCCUGUAGCUUCUAAGAACAGAUGCCGAGCUGCCAGAGCUGAACGUCAAACACAGGUGUUUUCCCGGACCUUUUCCUGAGAUUCUGUCUGCCCACUUCUCUGGCCCCCAGAAUGUGAUAUCCGUUUUGUCUAGGAGGAGCACAUCCUGAAUGAAAGAGUUAUUCUAAUUUUAACAGCCGGAAAUGCCAAACUCAGAGGUGAACAAGAAAGUGCAUCUCCCAGCAAAGCCGGAUGCAUCUGGGGAAUGUUUGACAAUUGCAACGGUGACUUCCCCCUCAGGGGCUCUGGGCCAGGACAGCCGGGUCACAGCUUUUGUUUUCACCCCCUGAAGCAUGUCCCAUCCCUGAGCCCUGCAGGGACAGCAGAUGAUGAAAGAGGAACGAACUACACUUAAACCUGUAAUUGGUGAUUAAUUCUCAUAAUUCAUCUGGCAUAUUUCGUUCUGGCUUAUUUUGAGGGAGGCACAAGCAUUUCAUUUUUAAAAAUCUUAUUACAAAAAAAUAACAUCUAUGUAAAAGCGGCAAGAACAGUCCAAUGGACACCCUGAAACUCAGUUAUGGAGACUGAGCAAUUGCUGGUCUGUCCUGGUUUGCGUGGCAGGCCCAAGUUCAGCGAGCCACUUAAAAGCAUGUGUUUCUGAGAAGCUGCUCCCUGCGUGAGGACGAUGCCAUGAACACGCCAACACGGUAAUUCUCCACCUCAUCUAGUACCCAUAUUUCAUAAAUUUUCCUAAUUGCCUGGAAAAUGUCUUUUGGCUGCUUUUAUUUUUUCCACAAACCAGGACCCAGGUAAGAGCCGUGCAUGGCUGUUCUGUCUCCCAAGUCUUGUGACUCUGGAAACGGAAGCCUGUCCGCCCCCCACCACCCCAUUUGUCCUGAAGCUUAACUAUUCUCCCAUCUGUGCGGCUCCUGUGAAGGAGAAGUUAGAUCUAAAGGCCCUGUCAUGUCUUGGUGGCAGGGACACCUCUUGGGGGCCGCAGGCCAGGAGCUGAUUGUCCAGGGCGUCCACCACCCAUGACACUGGAAUGGGGCUCGGGUGGUGACGACUCCACUUUAACCUGGUGGCCUUUAUUCCUCAGGUGUCUCCCAGCUGCGUCCUCUCCAGGGCUGUCCCGCGUGCUCCUGCCCUCUGCCCUGACAGGUGUCCCCGCACAGCCUCUGCGUCCAGCCCGUCUGGCAGCUCAGGAAAGUCGUCACAGGUACGACCCUGUCAUUUCCCACAGAAGUGAUGAGUUUCACGCUAGGCACUCGUCAGAGCGCUGCAGUGGAACCAGAUGCCCCUGCCUUCAGACCAGAGGACACGGGACAGCCGGCUGCCCCCUGUGCAGAGUCCCCACGACAGGGAAUCCUGUGUCACAGCCGUCGCCGGGCUGAGGAGGAGGAAGGCCAGCUCCCGCUGGGAGGGGCCACAGAGCUCUGCUCUCUUCCCUGCCAAGACGUGACUUUGGGACCUCUGGCUCCACAACUGUGAAAGUGUGUCCUUCUCAGCACAGUGACUGUCCUGUACCUAAGGCUGUCGACCUCGAUGGAUAAACCUACGUAUUUAGAAAUUAAUGUCUCAGCAUGGCUUUUCAUAGUUGCAAAGACGAACCUCGUCUCCCUGGAGAGGCUGGAACUGAUGCUGUAGGGCAGAGGAUGGUGGCAAAGAUCCUGUUCUGCGAGUGGUCUUCAAAGCACAGGAAGCCAGCUUCCCUGGGGACGCAGAUGGGGCGGUUCCCUCUGGCAAGGAGACCCACAACUCACUGCUCACGGUUUCUGGGGAGGGGAGUAUUCUAUUUGGGAAUAUGUUACAUAGUUUCAAAAAGCAAUAUAAGAGAAAGUAUUGGAAAGAUACAUGAAAUCUUGAAGUAGAAUUAUGGGUAACAUUUUUUGUUUUAGCUUUUUAAAAAUAUUACUUUUGCAAUCAGAAAGAGUAACAAGUACAAAAAGCUAAUAUUAUGUAACUUUGUAAAUGGAAAAUGUCAAUCUAUACAAAGGAGGCAAAAGUGCAAAUCAGGGUUGGCAAACUAGAGCCGUCUGGCCCAUCUGUUUCUGCACAGCCUACAAGAAUAAUUUGUGCAUUUUUAAAUGGAGAAAAAAGAUUUCAUGGCAUUAAAAGUAUAUGAAAUUCAAA